GUGCUCCCUUCGGCAGCACAUGUACUACAAUUGGCACAACACAGAGAAGCUGAGCGUGUCCCUGCUCAAGGGUGAAACAAGCUUGUGAAGCCUUAAGAAAAGCA
Pipistrellus kuhlii (Kuhl's pipistrelle) is the source of this 104-nucleotide small nuclear RNA. Lineage: Eukaryota; Metazoa; Chordata; Mammalia; Chiroptera; Vespertilionidae. The record is from RefSeq and is a predicted model, not a curated record.